GUAGUGUCCUCGCAUGCUUUUGACGGGUAACGGGGAAUUAGGGUUCGACUCCGGAGAGGGAGCCUGAGAAACGGCUACCACAUCCAAAGAAGGCAGCAGGCGCACAAAUUACCCAAUCCCAACAUGGGGAGGUAGUGACAAGAAAUACUGAUAUAGGGUCCUAUAGGAUCUUGUAAUUGGAAUGAGUACAAUUUAAACCCACUAACGAGGAACAACUAGAGGGCAAGUCUGGUGCCAGCAGCCGCGGUAAUUCCAGCUCUAGUAGCAUACAUUAAAAUUGUUGCAGUUAAAACGCCCGUAGUUGAAGCUUAGGUCCUUAUCAUCUAGUCUGCCUCACCGCUAGCACUGGUAUGAUUGGGCCUUUUUUCUUGGUAAACUGUUAUGCCCUUUAUUGGGUGUGGCAGUGAACUAGGACUUUUACUUUGAAAAAAUUAGAGUGUUUAAAGCAGGCUUUUGCUCGAAUACCUUAGCAUGGAAUAAUGGAAUAUGACGAGUGGUUGUUUUUCAUUGGUUUUCACGACUACCGUAAUGAUUGAUAGG
Molecule: ribosomal RNA, 540 nt
Filed under: Gloeandromyces streblae
Lineage: Eukaryota; Fungi; Ascomycota; Laboulbeniomycetes; Laboulbeniales; Laboulbeniaceae
Description: SSU rRNA
Rfam family: Eukaryotic small subunit ribosomal RNA
Source: RNAcentral